Molecule: ribosomal RNA, 119 nt
Filed under: Betta splendens (Siamese fighting fish)
Lineage: Eukaryota; Metazoa; Chordata; Actinopteri; Anabantiformes; Osphronemidae
Source: RNAcentral
GCUUACGGCCAUACCACCCUGAGCAUGCCCGAUCUCGUCUGAUCUCGGAGGCUAAGCAGGGUCGGGCCUGGUUAGUACUUGGAUGGGAGACCGCCUGGGAAUACCAGGUGCUGUAAGCG